Molecule: ribosomal RNA, 497 nt
Filed under: uncultured Massilia sp.
Lineage: Bacteria; Pseudomonadati; Pseudomonadota; Betaproteobacteria; Burkholderiales; Oxalobacteraceae
Description: partial 16S ribosomal RNA
Source: RNAcentral
CACGUAGUUAGCCGGUGCUUAUUCUUCAGGUACCGUCAUUAGCCAAAGGUAUUAUCCCCAGCCGUUUCUUCCCUGACAAAAGAGCUUUACAACCCGAAGGCCUUCUUCACUCACGCGGCAUUGCUGGAUCAGGCUUGCGCCCAUUGUCCAAAAUUCCCCACUGCUGCCUCCCGUAGGAGUCUGGACCGUGUCUCAGUUCCAGUGUGGCUGGUCGUCCUCUCAGACCAGCUACUGAUCGUCGCCUUGGUGAGCCUUUACCUCACCAACUAGCUAAUCAGAUAUCGGCCGCUCCAGGAGCAUGAGGUUCUUGCGAAUCCCCCACUUUCAUCCUUAGAUCGUAUGCGGUAUUAGCGUAACUUUCGCUACGUUAUCCCCCACUCUUGGGUACGUUCCGAUAUAUUACUCACCCGUUCGCCACUCGCCGCCAGGUUGCCCCGCGCUGCCGUUCGACUUGCAUGUGUAAAGCAUGCCGCCAGCGUUCAAUCUGAGCCAGGAUA